GGCUCGGUGGUGGAAGGUCCACGGCUUCUUUCCAUGAUGGUAAUGGAGGACAGGUUAUGCAGAAGGAGCUCGUUCGAUUCGAGCCCGAGCUG
Mycena latifolia is the source of this 92-nucleotide non-coding RNA. The record is from the annotation of a GenBank genome assembly. NCBI's taxonomy places the organism in Eukaryota, Fungi, Basidiomycota, Agaricomycetes, Agaricales, Mycenaceae.